GCGCUUGUAGCUCAACUGGAUAGAGCGCCUGACUUCGGAUCAGGAGGUUGUGGGUUCGACUCCUACCAGGCGCACCA
Molecule: transfer RNA, 77 nt
Filed under: Candidatus Pelagibacter sp.
Lineage: Bacteria; Pseudomonadati; Pseudomonadota; Alphaproteobacteria; Candidatus Pelagibacterales; Candidatus Pelagibacteraceae
Description: tRNA-Arg
Rfam family: tRNA
About the family: Transfer RNA (tRNA) molecules are approximately 80 nucleotides in length.
Source: RNAcentral